This 491-nucleotide ribosomal RNA is filed under the name uncultured bacterium. RNAcentral describes it as "partial 16S ribosomal RNA". It matches the Rfam family "Bacterial small subunit ribosomal RNA", at positions 29 to 507 of the family's 1533-position model. The record is from RNAcentral.
AGUGAACGCUGGCGGUAGGCCUAACACAUGCAAGUCGAACGGCAGCACAGUAAGAGCUUGCUCUUACGGGUGGCGAGUGGCGGACGGGUGAGGAAUACAUCGGAAUCUACUUUUUCGUGGGGGAUAACGUAGGGAAACUUACGCUAAUACCGCAUACGACCUACGGGUGAAAGCAGGGGAUCUUCGGACCUUGCGCGAUUGAAUGAGCCGAUGUCGGAUUAGCUAGUUGGCGGGGUAAAGGCCCACCAAGGCGACGAUCCGUAGCUGGUCUGAGAGGAUGAUCAGCCACACUGGAACUGAGACACGGUCCAGGCUCCUACGGGAGGCAGCAGUGGGGAAUAUUGGACAAUGGGCGCAAGCCUGAUCCAGCCAUACCGCGUGGGUGAAGAAGGCCUUCGGGUUGUAAAGCCCUUUUGUUGGGAAAGAAAAGCAGCAGGUUAAUACCCCGCUGUUCUGACGGUACCCAAAGAAUAAGCACCGGCUAAUUCGUG